This 320-nucleotide ribosomal RNA is filed under the name uncultured eukaryote. RNAcentral's name for it is "partial 18S ribosomal RNA". It matches the Rfam family "Eukaryotic small subunit ribosomal RNA", at positions 1470 to 1796 of the family's 1831-position model. The record is from RNAcentral.
CCCCUAGAUGUUCUGGGCCGCACGCGCGCUACACUGAACAGUUCAACAAGUCUUAACCUUGGCCGAUAGGUCUGGGUAAUCUUUGAACGCUGUUCGUGAUUGGGAUAGACCUUUGCAAUUAUGGGUCUUCAACGAGGAAUUCCUAGUAAACGCAAGUCAUCAGCUUGCAUUGAUUACGUCCCUGCCCUUUGUACACACCGCCCGUCGCACCUACCGAUUGAAUGGUCCGGUGAAAUCUCGGGACGGCGGCUUGGUCGCUUGCGUCCGACUGCUGAAACUUGAUUAAACCAUAUCAUUUAGAGGAAGGUGAAGUCGUGNCA